This 460-nucleotide ribosomal RNA is filed under the name uncultured bacterium. Its description in RNAcentral is "partial 16S ribosomal RNA". It matches the Rfam family "Bacterial small subunit ribosomal RNA", at positions 338 to 795 of the family's 1533-position model. The record is from RNAcentral.
CCUACGGGAGGCAGCAGUGAGGAAUAUUGGUCAAUGGACGGAAGUCUGAACCAGCCAUGCCGCGUGCAGGAAGACGGCUCUAUGAGUUGUAAACUGCUUUUGUACAAGGGUAAACCUGAAUACGUGUAUUCAGCUGAAAGUACUGUACGAAUAAGGACAGGCUAACUCCGUGCUAGCAGCCGAGGUAAUACGGAGGAGCCAAGCGUUAUCCGGAUUGAUUGGGGUGAAGGGGUGCGUAGGUGGAUUGAUAAGUGAGAGGUGAAAUGUCCGGGCUUAACUCGGGAACUGCCUCUAAUACUGUUGAUCUAGAGAGUAGAUGCGGCAGGCGGAAUGUAUGGUGUAGCGGUGAAAUGCUGAGAGAUCAUACAGAACACCGAGUGCGAAGGCAGCUUACCAAUCUAUAUCUGACGUUGAGGCACGAAAGCGUGGGGAGCAAACAGGAUUAGAUACCCUGGUAGUC